UACGAAGGGGGCUAGCGUUGCUCGGAAUUACUGGGCGUAAAGCGCACGUAGGCGGCUUUCUAAGUCGGGGGUGAAAUCCUGGAGCUCAACUCCAGAACUGCCUUCGAUACUGGAGAGCUCGAGUCCGGGAGAGGUGAGUGGAACUGCGAGUGUAGAGGUGAAAUUCGUAGAUAUUCGCAAGAACGCCAGUGGCGAAGGCGGCUCACUGGCCCGGUACUGACGCUGAGGUGCGAAAGCGUGGGGAGCAAACAGG
RNAcentral lists this ribosomal RNA (253 nucleotides) under uncultured bacterium. Its description in RNAcentral is "partial 16S ribosomal RNA". It matches the Rfam family "Bacterial small subunit ribosomal RNA", at positions 524 to 776 of the family's 1533-position model. The record is from RNAcentral.